RNAcentral lists this small nuclear RNA (90 nucleotides) under Marmota marmota marmota (Alpine marmot). Lineage: Eukaryota; Metazoa; Chordata; Mammalia; Rodentia; Sciuridae. The record is from RNAcentral.
UUGCUUUGGCAGCACAUAUACUAAAAUUGUAGCAAAACAUGGUCCCUGUGCAAGGAGGACAUGCGAAUUAAUGAAGCGUUCCAUAGGGGA